GUGUCAGGGCAGCUUGCUGUUUGGUGACGCAGCUAACGCAUUAAGCACCCCGCCUGGGGAGUACGUUCGCAAGAUAAAACUCAAAGGAAUGACGGGGGCCCGCACAAGCGGUGGAGCAUGUGUUUAAUUNGACGCAACGCGCAGAACCUUACCAACCCNUGACAUCCCGGUCGCGAUUUCCAGAGAUGGAUUUCUUCAGUUCGGCUGGACCGGAGACAGGUGUUGCAUGGCUGUCGUCAGCUCGUGUCGUGAGAUGUUGGGUUAAGUCCCGCAACGAGCGCAACCCUCGCCUUUAGUUGCCAUCAUUUAGUUGGGCACUCUAGAGGGACUGCCGGUGAUAAGCCGGAGGAAGGUGGGGAUGACGUCAAGUCCUCAUGGCCCUUACGGGUUGGGCUACACACGUGCUACAAUGGCGGCGACAAUGGGCAGCGAAGGGGCGACCCGGUGCAAAUCCCAAAAAGCCGUCUCAGUUCGGAUUGUACUCUGCAACUCGAGUGCAUGAAGGUGGAAUCGCUAGUAAUCGCGUAACAGCAUGACGCGGUGAAUACGUUCCCGGGCCUUGUACACACCGCCCGUCACACCAUGGGAGUUGGUUUUACCCGAAGCUGGUGCGCUAACCGCAAGGAGGCAGCCAACCACGGUAAGGUCAGCGACUGGGGUGAAGUCGUAACAAGGUAGCCCUAGGGGAACCUGGGGCUGGAUCACCUCCUUAAGCUUGGAUUCCCGGG
This 728-nucleotide ribosomal RNA is filed under the name uncultured Parvibaculum sp. Its description in RNAcentral is "bacterial SSU rRNA". It matches the Rfam family "Bacterial small subunit ribosomal RNA", at positions 820 to 1533 of the family's 1533-position model. The record is from RNAcentral. Lineage: Bacteria; Pseudomonadati; Pseudomonadota; Alphaproteobacteria; Hyphomicrobiales; Parvibaculaceae.